RNAcentral lists this ribosomal RNA (497 nucleotides) under uncultured bacterium. Its description in RNAcentral is "partial 16S ribosomal RNA". It matches the Rfam family "Bacterial small subunit ribosomal RNA", at positions 28 to 507 of the family's 1533-position model. The record is from RNAcentral.
GAUGAACGCUGGCGGCGUGCCUAAUACAUGCAAGUCGAGCGAACAGACGAGGAGCUUGCUCCUCUGACGUUAGCGUCGGACGGGUGAGUAACACGUGGAUAACCUACCUAUAAGACUGGGAUAACUUCGGGAAACCGGAGCUAAUACCGGAUAAUAUAUUGAACCGCAUGGUUCAAUAGUUAUAGACGGUUUUGCUGUCACUUAUAGAUGGAUCCGCGCCGCAUUAGCUAGUUGGUAAGGUAACGGCUUACCAAGGCAACGAUGCGUAGCCGACCUGAGAGGGUGAUCGGCCACACUGGAACUGAGACACGGUCCAGACUCCUACGGGAGGCAGCAGUAGGGAAUCUUCCGCAAUGGGCGAAAGCCUGACGGAGCAACGCCGCGUGAGUGAUGAAGGUCUUCGGAUCGUAAAACUCUGUUAUUAGGGAAGAACAAAUGUGUAAGUAACUAUGCACGUCUUGACGGUACCUAAUCAGAAAGCCACGGCUAACUACGUG